GCCUGUUUAUCAAAAACAUCGCCUCUUGCUAAAAAAGAAGUAUUAGAGGUCCCGCCUGCCCUGUGACCACAGUGUUUAACGGCCGCGGUAUCCUGACCGUGCGAAGGUAGCGUAAUCACUUGUCUUUUAAAUGAAGACCUGUAUGAAUGGCAUCACGAAGGUUCAACUGUCUCCUUCCCCCAGUCAAUGAAAUUGAUCUGCCCGUGCAGAAGCGGACAUAAAAACAUAAGACGAGAAGACCCUGUGGAGCUUUAGGCCAAGGAUCAAACAUGUAAAACAGACUCAAACCCUAAAAAGAAUAAUAAAAGUCCAAAAACCAAGAGUAACCUGAUCCUAAUGCCUUCGGUUGGGGCGACCGCGGGGGAAAAUAAAGCCCCCACAUGGAAUGGAACUACUUCCUAAACCAAGAGUUACAACUCUAAGUAACAGAAUUUCUGACCACCUAUGACCCAGGACAAACAUAAACCUGAUCAAUGAACCAAGUUACCCCAGGGAUAACAGCGCAAUCCUUUCCCAGAGUCCAUAUCGACGAAAGGGUUUACGACCUCGAUGUUGGAUCAGGACAUCCUAAUGGUGCAGCCGCUAUUAAGGGUUCGUUUGUUCAACGAUUAAUAGUCCUACGUGAUCUGAGU
Molecule: ribosomal RNA, 632 nt
Filed under: Congriscus megastomus
Lineage: Eukaryota; Metazoa; Chordata; Actinopteri; Anguilliformes; Congridae
Description: partial 16S ribosomal RNA
Rfam family: Bacterial large subunit ribosomal RNA
Source: RNAcentral